AUGGCGAAGUAUUGGUGGAGUAGUUCGAUCGAUAAGAGGUCUCCAAAAUGUCAGGGAGGGAUGGGUUUUCGCGACCUCCACAUGUUCAAUCUGGCACUUCUUGGCAAACAUGGUUGGCGUUUCAUGACCAAUCCCACCUCACUUUGUGCCAGAGUUCUGAAAGGUAGAUACUUUCCAGACACUGAUUUCCUGCAGGCUAGAGCACCAAAGGCUGCUUCGGCUACCUGGCGGGCAAUCAUCUCUGGA
RNAcentral lists this ribosomal RNA (246 nucleotides) under Triticum aestivum (bread wheat). Its description in RNAcentral is "partial small subunit ribosomal RNA". Lineage: Eukaryota; Viridiplantae; Streptophyta; Magnoliopsida; Poales; Poaceae. The record is from RNAcentral.